RNAcentral lists this ribosomal RNA (979 nucleotides) under Lactobacillus acidophilus. RNAcentral describes it as "bacterial SSU rRNA". It matches the Rfam family "Bacterial small subunit ribosomal RNA", at positions 1 to 946 of the family's 1533-position model. The record is from RNAcentral. Lineage: Bacteria; Bacillati; Bacillota; Bacilli; Lactobacillales; Lactobacillaceae.
AAAAACGAGAGUUUGAUCCUGGCUCAGGACGAACGCUGGCGGCGUGCCUAAUACAUGCAAGUCGAGCGAGCUGAACCAACAGAUUCACUUCGGUGAUGACGUUGGGAACGCGAGCGGCGGAUGGGUGAGUAACACGUGGGGAACCUGCCCCAUAGUCUGGGAUACCACUUGGAAACAGGUGCUAAUACCGGAUAAGAAAGCAGAUCGCAUGAUCAGCUUAUAAAAGGCGGCGUAAGCUGUCGCUAUGGGAUGGCCCCGCGGUGCAUUAGCUAGUUGGUAGGGUAACGGCCUACCAAGGCAAUGAUGCAUAGCCGAGUUGAGAGACUGAUCGGCCACAUUGGGACUGAGACACGGCCCAAACUCCUACGGGAGGCAGCAGUAGGGAAUCUUCCACAAUGGACGAAAGUCUGAUGGAGCAACGCCGCGUGAGUGAAGAAGGUUUUCGGAUCGUAAAGCUCUGUUGUUGGUGAAGAAGGAUAGAGGUAGUAACUGGCCUUUAUUUGACGGUAAUCAACCAGAAAGUCACGGCUAACUACGUGCCAGCAGCCGCGGUAAUACGUAGGUGGCAAGCGUUGUCCGGAUUUAUUGGGCGUAAAGCGAGCGCAGGCGGAAGAAUAAGUCUGAUGUGAAAGCCCUCGGCUUAACCGAGGAACUGCAUCGGAAACUGUUUUUCUUGAGUGCAGAAGAGGAGAGUGGAACUCCAUGUGUAGCGGUGGAAUGCGUAGAUAUAUGGAAGAACACCAGUGGCGAAGGCGGCUCUCUGGUCUGCAACUGACGCUGAGGCUCGAAAGCAUGGGUAGCGAACAGGAUUAGAUACCCUGGUAGUCCAUGCCGUAAACGAUGAGUGCUAAGUGUUGGGAGGUUUCCGCCUCUCAGUGCUGCAGCUAACGCAUUAAGCACUCCGCCUGGGGAGUACGACCGCAAGGUUGAAACUCAAAGGAAUUGACGGGGGCCCGCACAAGCGGUGGAGCAUGUGGUU